UGAUGCAGUUUGAGCUUUUCUCUUCCCAGCAGGUUUGCGAAUCACAUUAAGCUCUUCUGGUGACCUGGGAGGCUAGUUUAGAAGGUGUUCUACCCUGAGCGAGAGGGUAUUUGACUCUUGGACUGUCUUCGACUGGCAUUGGAGGGCCUUUUGGAAACUUAAUUUGAGCAGCGUCGAGGCUCCGUUGAGCAGGGUUCGGGACUCCUUUUGGCUGGAUUGAGCUUGGUGAUAGAGCCUUCCACCCCGGGAAAGGCUAGGGUUCUU
This is a long non-coding RNA of Ananas comosus (pineapple), 264 nucleotides long. RefSeq lists it as uncharacterized. The record is from RefSeq and is a predicted model, not a curated record. The transcript is spliced from 4 exons. Lineage: Eukaryota; Viridiplantae; Streptophyta; Magnoliopsida; Poales; Bromeliaceae.